CCCGACUGCUAUCGGGGUGGCGCUAAGCCAUGGGAGUCGCACAUCCCACCGCCGUGGGGUGUGGCGAACGGCUGAGUAACACGUGGCUAACCUACCCUCGGGACGGGGACAACUCCGGGAAACUGGAGCUUAUCCCCGAUAGGCGGGGAGUCCUGGAACGGUUCUCCGCCCAAAGGGAUGGGAGGGGGUUAUCGCCUUCUAUCCGCCCGAGGAUGGGGCUGCGUCCCAUCAGGUUGUUGGCGGGGUAACGGCCCGCCAAGCCUAUAACGGGUAGGGGCCGUGAGAGCGGGAGCCCCCAGAUGGGCACUGAGACAAGGGCCCAGGCCCUACGGGGCGCACCAGGCGGGAAACCUCCGCAAUGCGGUAACCCGUGACGGGGUCACCCCGAGUGCUCCCCUUAUGGGGAGCUUUUCCCCGCUGCAGGAAGGCGGGGGUAAUAAGUGGGGGGCAAGACUGGUGUCAGCCGCCGCGGUAAUACCAGCCCCACGAGUGGUCGGGACGGUUAUUGGGCCUAAAGCGCCCGUAGCCGGCCCAGCAAGUUCCUGCCUAAAUCACCGGGCUCAACCCGGUGACUGGUGGGAAUACUGCUGGGCUAGGAGGCGGGAGAGGCCGGGGGUACUCCUAGGGUAGGGGCGAAAUCCUAUAAUCCUAGGAGGACCACCAGUGGCGAAGGCGCCCGGCUGGAACGCGCUCGACGGUGAGGGGCGAAAGCUGGGGGAGCAAACCGGAUUAGAUACCCGGGUAGUCCCAGCUGUAAACGAUGCGGACUAGGUGUUGGACGGACCUAGGGUCCGUCCAGUGCCGCAGGGAAGCCGUUAAGUCCGCCGCCUGGGGAGUACGACCGCAAGGCUGAAACUUAAAGGAAUUGGCGGGGGAGCACCACAAGGGGUGGAGCCUGCGGCUUAAUUGGAGUCAACGCCGGGAACUUUACCGGGGGCGACAGCAGGAUGACGGCCAGGCUAAUGACCUUGCCCGACGCGCUGAGAGGAGGUGCACGGCCGUCGCCAGCUCGUGCCGUGAGGUGUCUGGUUAAGUCCAGCAACGAGCGAGACCCCCGCCCCUAAUUGCUACCCGCUCCUUCGGGAGCGGGGCACAUUAGGGGGACUGCCGGCGUCUAAGCCGGAGGAAGGUGGGGGCCACGGCAGGUCAGCAUGCCCCGAAACCCCCGGGCUGCACGCGGGCUACAAUGGCUGGGACAGCGGGAACCGACCUCGAAAGAGGAAGGUAAUCCCUCAAACCCAGCCGCAGUUGGGAUCGAGGACUGAAACCCGUCCUCGUGAACGAGGAAUCCCUAGUAACCGCGCGUCAUCAUCGCGCGGUGAAUACGUCCCUGCUCCUUGCACACACCGCCCGUCGCUCCACCCGAGUGGGGAGAGGGUGAGGCCCUGCUCCGAAUGGGGUAGGGUCGAACCCUCUCCCUGCGAGGGGGGAG
Molecule: ribosomal RNA, 1432 nt
Filed under: uncultured archaeon
Lineage: Archaea
Description: bacterial SSU rRNA
Rfam family: Archaeal small subunit ribosomal RNA
Source: RNAcentral